RNAcentral lists this ribosomal RNA (253 nucleotides) under uncultured bacterium. RNAcentral's name for it is "partial 16S ribosomal RNA". It matches the Rfam family "Bacterial small subunit ribosomal RNA", at positions 524 to 776 of the family's 1533-position model. The record is from RNAcentral.
UACGUAGGGUGCGAGCGUUGUCCGGAAUUAUUGGGCGUAAAGAGCUUGUAGGCGGUUUGUCGCGUCUGGUGUGAAAAUCCAGGGCUUAACCCUGGACCUGCAUCGGGUACGGGCAGACUAGAGUGCGGUAGGGGAGAUCGGAAUUCCUGGUGUAGCGGUGAAAUGCGCAGAUAUCAGGAGGAACACCGGUGGCGAAGGCGGGUCUCUGGGCCGAUACUGACGCUGAGGAGCGAAAGCGUGGGGAGCAAACAGG